RNAcentral lists this long non-coding RNA (1162 nucleotides) under Actinidia chinensis (golden kiwifruit). RNAcentral's name for it is "long non-coding RNA (ACHI_LNC006485)". Lineage: Eukaryota; Viridiplantae; Streptophyta; Magnoliopsida; Ericales; Actinidiaceae. The record is from RNAcentral.
AAGUAAAUCUAACAUCCUCCGGUAGUCCUGGGACUAUUUCCACAAUCAUAGUACACGCUUACCUAAAAUAAUUCCCAACAACAUGAAUAAGUAUAAAAUUUGUAAAAAAAUUUAACAAGUAUAAGAUUGUAAUAAAGUUCACACAUGAACAUUCAGCCUCACAAGUGUGUGUUCGAAAAAAGGGGAGGGAGAGAAAAAUAGGGGGGGAGAGAGAAUAUCACACACAAGCAUACAACUUCACGUACAAUCUCGCAAUUCUACAAAAGAACAUAUACAUCAACUCUCAAACUCUAACAAUACAAUAGGUAACCAACGCACAACUCUAACCAUACCAUAAUCAACACAUUCUGACUCACAAUACAGAAAAGAGGGAGAGGAGGAGAAUCAACUCCUGGUCAAUGUACAUUGUCCUCUAUCCCUUUUGUAGGCAUGUACCAAUCGACCAAUUAUCCAUUCUUGUGAGUCAACAUCCUCUUUUACCCAUUACGUAGGAAUGUUUCCCUAAUUGCAAUUCCUGAUUCUAGGUUGAAUAUCUCACACUCACCCCUCACCCACCCCUUUCUAAGGUAUGUCCAACAUAAGCCACACACAAAUUGCCCGUCGCCACACACUUACUCUAGCCACAAAUACUAACUAUAUGAAUGCACGCUCAUCGCUUAUGUCAACACGCCAACCAGUAACACUCACAAGGUACCCAAAAGACUAAAUUACAAUAAAGUCUUAAAAUUUCCUAUACUCUCAAAGGUUUAUAAAUCAAAGCAAAUAAUACUUAUUCAAAUCAAAAUUUCCCAAUCACAAUCACUUCGCAAGUUAAAAAUAAACUAGAGUGUUUAAACAUGCUAUCAUAUAAAUUCAUUUGUAUUCAACAUCUACAACUACAAAAGCACGUAAAAUCAAUGAAUUCAUAAUUAAGGCCAACUCGGCUGAUCAACAAUCAAUUUAUCACGUAAAUUCAUAUAAUUCAUGUUUGUUCACACCUAGUUAUUGACAAAAUUAUAAAUUCAACAUGUGAAAACCAAAACUUCUGUCCUCAGCGGUCACCCGACUCAUACGCGUCCUUGCCCCAGUGCGAUGGCACAUGCCACAACCUCACAAUGAGCUUUUCUGUCUGUGAAAUAAAUUUGGGGAAAAGAGAGAAUUGGAAAAAUUUGGGGAAAUUGGA